This 374-nucleotide ribosomal RNA is filed under the name uncultured organism. RNAcentral describes it as "partial 16S ribosomal RNA". It matches the Rfam family "Bacterial small subunit ribosomal RNA", at positions 527 to 896 of the family's 1533-position model. The record is from RNAcentral.
GUAGGUGGCAAGCGUUGUCCGGAAUUAUUGGGCGUAAAGCGCGCGCAGGUGGUUCUUUAAGUCUGAUGUGAAAGCCCCCGGCUCAACCGAGGAGGGUCAUUGGAAACUGGGGAACUUGAGUGCAGGAGAGGAAAGUGGAAUUCCACGUGUAGCGGUGAAAUGCGUAGAUAUGUGGAGGAACACCAGUGGCGAAGGCGACUUUCUGGCCUGUAACUGACACUGAGGCGCGAAAGCGUGGGGAGCAAACAGGGAUUAGAUACCCUGGUAGUCCACGCCGUAAACGAUGAGUGCUAAGUGUUGGGGGGGUUUCCCGCCCCUCAGUGCUGCAGCUAACGCAUUAAGCACUCCGCCUGGGGAGUACGGUCGCAAGACUG